This 68-nucleotide transfer RNA is filed under the name Parantropora penelope. Its description in RNAcentral is "tRNA-His". The record is from RNAcentral. Lineage: Eukaryota; Metazoa; Bryozoa; Gymnolaemata; Cheilostomatida; Antroporidae.
GAAAAGGUAGUUUAUUUAUUAAAAUUUUUAGUUGUGAGCUAAGAGAUAGGGUUUUAUCCUCUUUUUCA